CAGGACGAACGCUGGCGGCGCGCCUAACACAUGCAAGUCGAACGGAGCUGUUUUCUCUGAAGUUUUCGGAUGGAAGAGAGUUCAGCUUAGUGGCGAACGGGUGAGUAACACGUGAGCAACCUGCCUUUCAGUUGGGGGGACAACAUUUGGAAACGAAUGCUAAUACCGCAUAAGACCACAGUGUCGCAUGACACAGGGGUCAAAGGAUUUAUCCGCUGAAAGAUGGGCUCGCGUCCGAUUAGCUAGAUGGUGAGGUAACGGCCCACCAUGGCGACGAUCGGUAGCCGGACUGAGAGGUUGAACGGCCACAUUGGGACUGAGACACGGCCCAGACUCCUACGGAGGCAGCAGUGGGGAAUAUUGCACAAUGGGGGAAACCCUGAUGCAGCGACGCCGCGUGGAGGAAGAAGGUCUUCGGAUUGUAAACUCCUGUCCCAGGGGACGAUAAUGACGGUACCCUGGGAGGAAGCACCGGCUAACUACGUG
RNAcentral lists this ribosomal RNA (486 nucleotides) under uncultured bacterium. RNAcentral's name for it is "bacterial SSU rRNA". It matches the Rfam family "Bacterial small subunit ribosomal RNA", at positions 25 to 507 of the family's 1533-position model. The record is from RNAcentral.